GAACGCUGGCGGCGUGCCUAACACAUGCAAGUCGAGCGAGGAGAUCCUUCGGGAUGAUCCUAGCGGCGGACGGGUGAGUAACACGUGGGCAACCUGCCUCAUAGAGAGGAAUAGCCUUCCGAAAGGAGAUUAAUACCUCAUAACAUUGCAGUUUCGCAUGGAACAGCAAUUAAAGGAGUAAUCCGCUAUGAGAUGGGCCCGCGGCGCAUUAGCUAGUUGGUGAGGUAACGGCUCACCAAGGCGACGAUGCGUAGCCGACCUGAGAGGGUGAUCGGCCACAUUGGGACUGAGACACGGCCCAGACUCCUACGGGAGGCAGCAGUGGGGAAUAUUGCACAAUGGGGGAAACCCUGAUGCAAGCAACGCCGCGUGAGUGAUGACGGCCUUCGGGUUGUAAAGCUCUGUCUUCAGGGACGAUAAUGACGGUACCUGAGGAGGAAGCCACGGCUAACUACGUGCCAGCCGCUGC
RNAcentral lists this ribosomal RNA (469 nucleotides) under uncultured bacterium. RNAcentral's name for it is "bacterial SSU rRNA". It matches the Rfam family "Bacterial small subunit ribosomal RNA", at positions 31 to 518 of the family's 1533-position model. The record is from RNAcentral.